Molecule: ribosomal RNA, 1948 nt
Filed under: Xanthomonas citri pv. citri
Lineage: Bacteria; Pseudomonadati; Pseudomonadota; Gammaproteobacteria; Lysobacterales; Lysobacteraceae
Description: partial 23S ribosomal RNA
Rfam family: Bacterial large subunit ribosomal RNA
Source: RNAcentral
GUUAUAUGGUCAAGCGAAUAAGCGCACACGGUGGAUGCCUAGGCGGUCAGAGGCGAUGAAGGACGUGGUAGCCUGCGAAAAGUGUCGGGGAGCUGGCAACAAGCUUUGAUCCGGCAAUAUCCGAAUGGGGAAACCCACUGCUUCGGCAGUAUCCUGCAGUGAAUUCAUAGCUGCUGGAAGCGAACCCGGUGAACUGAAAUAUCUAAGUAACCGGAGGAAAAGAAAUCAACCGAGAUUCCCUAAGUAGUGACGAGCGAACGGGGAGCAGCCCUUAAGCUGGAAUGGCUUUAGAAAAACAAUCUGGAAAGAUUGGCCAUAGAAGGUGAUAGCCCUGUAUUUAAAAGGGCCACUCCAGUGAAGACGAGUAGGGCGGGGCACGUGAAACCCUGUCUGAAUAUGGGGGGACCAUCCUCCAAGGCUAAAUACUCCUGACCGACCGAUAGUGAACCAGUACCGUGAGGGAAAGGCGAAAAGAACCCCGGAGAGGGGAGUGAAAUAGAUCCUGAAACCGUGUGCGUACAAGCAGUAGGAGCUCGCAAGAGUGACUGCGUACCUUUUGUAUAAUGGGUCAGCGACUUACUGUUCGUGGCAAGCUUAACCGUAUAGGGGAGGCGAAGGGAAACCGAGUCUGAUAAGGGCGCAUAGUCGCGGGCAGUAGACCCGAAACCGGGUGAUCUAGUCAUGGCCAGGGUGAAGGUGCCGUAACAGGUACUGGAGGCCCGAACCCACGUCUGUUGCAAAAGACGGGGAUGAGCUGUGAUUAGGAGUGAAAAGCUAAUCGAACCCGGAGAUAGCUGGUUCUCCUCGAAAGCUAUUUAGGUAGCGCCUCAUAUGUAUCCUCUCGGGGGUAGAGCACUGUUAUGGCUAGGGGGUCAUCGCGACUUACCAAACCAUUGCAAACUCCGAAUACCGAGACGGACUGUAUGGGAGACACACGGCGGGUGCUAACGUCCGUCGUGAAAAGGGAAACAACCCAGACCCACAGCUAAGGUCCCAAAUUCACUGCUAAGUGGAAAACGAUGUGGAAAGGCAUAGACAGCCAGGAGGUUGGCUUAGAAGCAGCCACCCUUUAAAGAAAGCGUAAUAGCUCACUGGUCGAGUCGGUCUGCGCGGAAGAUUUAACGGGGCUAAGCAGUGAACCGAAGCUUGGGGUGCAUAAAACGUGUUUUAUGCGCGGUAGAGGAGCGUUCCGUAAGCCUGCGAAGGUGGAUUGAGAAGUCUGCUGGAGGUAUCGGAAGUGCGAAUGCUGACAUGAGUAACGAUAAUGCGGGUGAAAAGCCCGCACGCCGAAAGCCCAAGGUUUCCUUGCGCAACGUUAAUCGACGCAGGGUUAGUCGGUCCCUAAGGCGAGGGCUAAAGCCGUAGUCGAUGGGAAGCAGGUUAAUAUUCCUGCACCUCGCGUGAGUGCGAUGGAGGGACGGAGAAGGUUAGGUGUACCGGGCGUUGGUUGUCCCGGGGAAAGGCGGUAGGUUUGGAUCUUUGGCAAAUCCGGGAUCCUUUAAGACCGAGCACCGAGACGAGCCUUUUUGGCGAAGUCACUGAUACCACGCUUCCAGGAAAAGCUCCUAAGCUUCAGCUCACGAAGACCGUACCGUAAACCGACACAGGUGGGUAGGAUGAGAAUUCUCAGGCGCUUGAGAGAACUCGGGUGAAGGAACUAGGCAACAUGGCACCGUAACUUCGGGAGAAGGUGCACCCUUUUUGGUGGCUCAUGCGAGCUAUAGCUGAAGAGGGUCGCAGAAACCAGGCCGCUGCGACUGUUUAUCAAAAACACAGCACUCUGCAAACACGAAAGUGGACGUAUAGGGUGUGACGCCUGCCCGGUGCUGGAAGGUUAAUUGAUGGGGUCAGCCGCAAGGCGAAGCUCUUGAUCGAAGCCCCAGUAAACGGCGGCCGUAACUAUAACGGUCCUAAGGUAGCGAAAUUCCUUGUCGGGUAAGUUCCGACC